RNAcentral lists this transfer RNA (75 nucleotides) under Xaviernesmea oryzae. RNAcentral's name for it is "Rhizobium oryzae tRNA-Arg". It matches the Rfam family "tRNA", at positions 15 to 71 of the family's 71-position model. From Rfam's summary of the family: Transfer RNA (tRNA) molecules are approximately 80 nucleotides in length. The record is from RNAcentral. Lineage: Bacteria; Pseudomonadati; Pseudomonadota; Alphaproteobacteria; Hyphomicrobiales; Rhizobiaceae.
GAACUGGUAUGCCCCAAAAAGAGCACCAGAUUCCUAAUCUGGGGGUCGCGCGUUCGAAUCGCGCCGGGAUCACCA